AAAUCCCUAGGAAAAAAGAUAAAACUGCCUAGACGUAACGUCGUCGUUAGUUUCCCUAUUUUUCUACGGGAGUUU
This 75-nucleotide non-coding RNA is filed under the name Streptococcus thermophilus LMG 18311. Lineage: Bacteria; Bacillati; Bacillota; Bacilli; Lactobacillales; Streptococcaceae. The record is from RNAcentral.